AUUGAACGCUGGCGGCAGGCCUAACACAUGCAAGUCGAACGGUAACAGGAAGCAGCUUGCUGCUUCGCUGACGAGUGGCGGACGGGUGAGUAAUGUCUGGGAAACUGCCUGAUGGAGGGGGAUAACUACUGGAAACGGUAGCUAAUACCGCAUAACGUCGCAAGACCAAAGAGGGGGACCUUAGGGCCUCUUGCCAUCGGAUGUGCCCAGAUGGGAUUAGCUAGUAGGUGGGGUAACGGCUCACCUAGGCGACGAUCCCUAGCUGGUCUGAGAGGAUGACCAGCCACACUGGAACUGAGACACGGUCCAGACUCCUACGGGAGGCAGCAGUGGGGAAUAUUGCGCAAUGGGCGCAAGCCUGAUGCAGCCAUGCCGCGUGUAUGAAGAAGGCCUUCGGGUUGUAAAGUACUUUCAGCGGGGAGGAAGGGAGUAAAGUUAAUACCUUUGCUCAUUGACGGUACCCGCAGAAGAAGCACCGGCUAACUCCGUG
Molecule: ribosomal RNA, 490 nt
Filed under: uncultured bacterium
Lineage: Bacteria
Description: partial 16S ribosomal RNA
Rfam family: Bacterial small subunit ribosomal RNA
Source: RNAcentral